CUAGCAUCGACGCGAGGUUCAAGUCACCCGUACCCCAAACCGACUCAGGUGGUCAGGUAGAGAAUACCAAGGAGAUCGAGAGAAUCGUGGUUAAGGAACUCGGCAAAAUGCCCCCGUAACUUCGGGAGAAGGGGGGCCUGAGGCGUGAAGGGAUUUACUCCUGGAGCGUUUGAAGGCCGCAGAGACCAGUGGGAAGCGACUGUUUACUAAAAACACAGGUCCGUGCUAAGUCGCAAGACGAUGUAUACGGACUGACGCCUCCCCGGUGCUGGAAGGUUAAGAGGAACGGUUAGCCGUAAGGCGAAGCUGAGAAUUUAAGCCCCAGUAAACGGCGGUGGUAACUAUAACCAUCCUAAGGUAGCGAAAUUCCUUGUCGGGUAAGUUCCGACCUGCACGAAUGGCGUAACGACUUCCCAGCUGUCUCAACCGCGAACUCGGCGAAAUUGCACUACGAGUAAAGAUGCUCGUUACGCGCAGAAGGACGGAAAGACCCCGUGACCUUUACUAUAGCUUUGUAUUGGUGUUCGGUGUGGCUUGUGUAGGAUAGGUGGGAGACUUUGAAGCUUGGACGCUAGUUCAGGUGGAGUCAUUGUUGAAAUACCACUCUGGUCACUCUGGAUAUCUAACUUCGGACCGUAAUCCGGUUCAGGGACAGUGCAUGGUGGGUAGUUUAACUGGGGCGGUUGCCUCCCAAAAAGUAACGGAGGCGCCCAAAGGUUACCUCAACCUGGUUGGUAAUCAGGUGUCGAGUGUAAGUGCACAAGGGAGCUUGACUGUGAGAGUGACAACUCGAGCAGGGACGAAAGUCGGGACUAGUGAUCCGGCAGUGGCUUGUGGAAGCGCUGUCGCUCAACGGAUAAAAGGUACCUCGGGGAUAACAGGCUGAUCUUGCCCAAGAGUCCAUAUCGACGGCAUGGUUUGGCACCUCGAUGUCGGCUCGUCGCAUCCUGGGGCUGGAGUAGGUCCCAAGGGUUGGGCUGUUCGCCCAUUAAAGCGGUACGCGAGCUGGGUUUAGAACGUCGUGAGACAGUUCGGUCCCUAUCCUCUGCGCGCGCAGGAAAUUUGAGAAGAGCUAUCCCUAGUACGAGAGGACCGGGAUGGACGAACCUCUGGUGUGUCAGUUGUUCCGCCAGGAGCACCGCUGAUUAGCUACGUUCGGAACGGAUAACCGCUGAAAGCAUCUAAGCGGGAAGCCGGCUUCAAGAUGAGAUUUCCAUGGCUUAGGCCGAGAGACCCGCAGCUAGACUACUGCGUUGAUAGGCUGGAUGUGGAAGUGGGGACUAAAGACCCAUGGAGCUGACCAGUACUAAUAGGUCGAUAAAUUGAUAAA
Molecule: ribosomal RNA, 1330 nt
Filed under: metagenome
Description: bacterial LSU rRNA
Rfam family: Bacterial large subunit ribosomal RNA
Source: RNAcentral